Molecule: long non-coding RNA, 1065 nt
Organism: Planococcus citri (citrus mealybug)
Lineage: Eukaryota; Metazoa; Arthropoda; Insecta; Hemiptera; Pseudococcidae
Exons: 3
Source: RefSeq, a predicted model, not a curated record
UAGAACAGUAUAGGUAUUACCACCAUCUCUUGUUAGAUCAUUUUUCUUUGCUCAUGAUUUACCUAGUCCGGUUGAUUAAAAUUCAUAGUUACUAGUGGCUUGCAAAUGCUGUAUUGUUGAUAACGCGAUUUUCAAGUUUUAAUGUUUACGAAUUGCGAAUUUUAUUGAAAUCGCGUAAUUACAAACAAAGCAUCUCGUGGAUUCUACGAUGUCAAAGUGGUUUAUGUUUAUAGUCCUGUCUUUGAUAGCUGAAAUUUUCUCCGACCGAAAACUUGGCAAUAUGCAUUCCAGCAAGUGCCGCGUGUUCCUCCGUAAUAAUGGGCCAGUUUACGCUGGAAGCAGCAUUACAUUUACUGCCACUCCCAUCGACGUUAAUAAUGGCGAACCCGGCGUCAUUAAUGCUGUAUAUGGUAAUGGUGAUGGUGUUUGCACAUAUGAAUGGAAAGAUAACUACGAACCCCCGCAUCAUUUCAAGGGGAUCAUGAUGGGUGGUUGGACCGUAUCAUAUCCGGCCGAUGCAUUCAAACCCGGCAUAUAUACAGUAGAAGUAUGGGUUAACUGCACUACUCUUAGAGAUUCGAGCGUGUGUAGCGACAAAACAAAUUUCGAAUUGAAGAGAACUAGUAUAAUAUUAUUUAUGAUUUAAUGAAAAUAAUACCUAUCAAUAUCUCUUUGUAUAAAUAGAAAAUGAUUACACGGAAGAACUGUUACCCUUUAUAAGCAUUUCCACUUUUGGUACCUACCCCUAAAAUAAGAGUACAUUGGGUAACAUUUAUUUUCUGUAAGCCUGGGUACAAUUUAGGGAGUGGACAGCGAAAAAAAAACCACAGGAACUUGACCGAAUUCUGCAGGGAUCUUCAUUUUUCGAAUUGAAAGUAGCUUAGAAAAAAAUGUCAUCUAGGGAGGUGUCAUAGGAGAGAUAAUAUGGCUUCUUAAGGAGGGCGCAUUUUCGAAAAAAUCAUAACCCAGUUCCGAAAGAUAUUAUUCAAGAUUAAUCCUAAACGACGCAAUUCAAUCAUUCAAAUGAAAAGUAUGGUUCAAAUCCAGUAUAAUUAGGUAGUUUGG